Molecule: ribosomal RNA, 1408 nt
Filed under: uncultured bacterium
Lineage: Bacteria
Description: bacterial SSU rRNA
Rfam family: Bacterial small subunit ribosomal RNA
Source: RNAcentral
UAGAGUUUGAUCCUGGCUCAGGAUGAACGCUAGCGACAGGCUUAACACAUGCAAGUCGAGGGGCAGCGGUGGUGAAGGCUUGCCUUUACCAGCCGGCGACCGGCGCACGGGUGAGUAACACGUAUGCAACCUGCCUGCCACAGCCGGAUAAUCGGGAGAAAUUCCGUCUAAUACGGCAUAAUGCAUCGACGGGACAUCCUGUUGGUGCCAAAGGUUGAUUCCGGUGGCGGAUGGGCAUGCGUCGCAUUAGUUAGUUGGCGGUGUAACGGACCACCAAGACGACGAUGCGUAGGGGUUCUGAGAGGAAGGUCCCCCACACUGGUACUGAGACACGGACCAGACUCCUACGGGAGGCAGCAGUGAGGAAUAUUGGUCAAUGGGCGGGAGCCUGAACCAGCCAAGUCGCGUGAGGGAUGACGGCCCUAUGGGUUGUAAACCUCUUUUGCCGGGGAGCAAAGUGCCGCACGUGUGCGGUUUGGAGAGUACCCGGAGAAAAAGCAUCGGCUAACUCCGUGCCAGCAGCCGCGGUAAUACGGAGGAUGCGAGCGUUAUCCGGAUUUAUUGGGUUUAAAGGGUGCGUAGGCGGACGCUUAAGUCAGCGGUAAAAUUGCGGGGCUCAACCUCGUCGAGCCGUUGAAACUGGGUGCCUUGAGUGGGCGAGAAGUACGCGGAAUGCGUGGUGUAGCGGUGAAAUGCAUAGAUAUCACGCAGAACUCCGAUUGCGAAGGCAGCGUACCGGCGCCCAACUGACGCUGAAGCACGAAGGCGUGGGUAUCGAACAGGAUUAGAUACCCUGGUAGUCCACGCAGUAAACGAUGAAUGCUAGUUGUCCGGGGCGAUUGAGUUCUGGGUGACACAGCGAAAGCGUUAAGCAUUCCACCUGGGGAGUACGCCGGCAACGGUGAAACUCAAAGGAAUUGACGGGGGCCCGCACAAGCGGAGGAACAUGUGGUUUAAUUCGAUGAUACGCGAGGAACCUUACCCGGGCUCAAACGCAGGAGGGAUGUUUUUGAAAGGAGGCAGCCAGCAAUGGUCUCCUGCGAGGUGCUGCAUGGUUGUCGUCAGCUCGUGCCGUGAGGUGUCGGCUUAAGUGCCAUAACGAGCGCAACCCCUACCUACAGUUGCCAUCGCGUGAUGGCGGGCACUCUGUGGGGACUGCCUGCGCAAGCAGUGAGGAAGGCGGGGAUGACGUCAAAUCAGCACGGCCCUUACGUCCGGGGCGACACACGUGUUACAAUGGCAGGUACAGCGGGAAGCCACCCGGCGACGGGGCGCGGAACCCGAAAACCUGUCUCAGUUCGGAUUGGAGUCUGCAACCCGACUCCAUGAAGCUGGAUUCGCUAGUAAUCGCGCAUCAGCCACGGCGCGGUGAAUACGUUCCCGGGCCUUGCACUCACCGCCCGUCAAG